RNAcentral lists this long non-coding RNA (227 nucleotides) under Lathyrus oleraceus (garden pea). RNAcentral's name for it is "Pisum sativum (pea) long non-coding RNA (PSAT_LNC021705)". Lineage: Eukaryota; Viridiplantae; Streptophyta; Magnoliopsida; Fabales; Fabaceae. The record is from RNAcentral.
AAGAUUUUUCUUUUAUUUAUUUAUUUAUUUAAUUUAUUUAUUUAAUUUUUUUUUUCGUUUUUUUUGUUUUCGUUUUCUGUUUUUUUUUCGUUUUCCAUUUUUCGUUUUUUUUUUGAAAAAAUAUUCUGAUUGUCAUGAUGAAAUGCAAAUGCUAAAUGACCUAAAAAUGAAUGCAUACAUGAGGUGUAAAGCGUAUGCUUCCAAGAAAAAUGAAGGGUAAAUUUUGG